CACCGGCGUAAAGAGUGGUUAUGGAAAACUAGCAAAACUAAAGCCGAAUGCCCCCAAGGCUGUUAUACGCACCCGAGGGCCAGAAACCCAACUACGAAAGUGGCUUUACCCAACCUGAACCCACGAAAGCUAUGACACAAACUGGGAUUAGAUACCCCACUAUGCUUAGCCGUAAACAAUGAUAACACCCCACAAUUGUUAUCCGCCCGGGUACUACGAGCACUAGCUUAAAACCCAAAGGACUUGGCGGUGCUUUAGAUCCACCUAGAGGAGCCUGUUCUAGAACCGAUAAUCCCCGUUAAACCUCACCCCUCCUUGUUCUCCCCGCCUAUAUACCGCCGUCGUCAGCUUACCCUGUGAAGGACCAAUAGUAAGCGAAAUUGGCACAGCCCAAAACGCCAGGUCGAGGUGUAGCGUAUGGAGGGGGAAGAAAUGGGCUACAUUCAGUGAACCACUGAACACGGAAGGUGGGCUGAAACGCCCGCCCGAAGGAGGAUUUAGCAGUAAGCGGGAAAUAGAGUGUCCCACUGAAACCGGCCCUGAAGCGCGUACACACCGCCCGUCACUCUCCCCGAGACGAAGAAAACAUAUACUUAAGACCCAAUCACUA
This 610-nucleotide ribosomal RNA is filed under the name Bodianus axillaris (axilspot hogfish). Its description in RNAcentral is "partial small subunit ribosomal RNA". It matches the Rfam family "Bacterial small subunit ribosomal RNA", at positions 547 to 1444 of the family's 1533-position model. Lineage: Eukaryota; Metazoa; Chordata; Actinopteri; Labriformes; Labridae. The record is from RNAcentral.